This 253-nucleotide ribosomal RNA is filed under the name uncultured bacterium. RNAcentral describes it as "partial 16S ribosomal RNA". It matches the Rfam family "Bacterial small subunit ribosomal RNA", at positions 524 to 776 of the family's 1533-position model. The record is from RNAcentral.
UACGUAGGGUGCAAGCGUUAAUCGGAAUUACUGGGCGUAAAGCGUGCGCAGGCGGCUUUGCAAGACAGAUGUGAAAUCCCCGGGCUUAACCUGGGAACUGCAUUUGUGACUGCAUGGCUGGAGUGCGGCAGAGGUGGAUGGAAUUCCGCGUGUAGCAGUGAAAUGCGUAGAUAUGCGGAGGAACACCGAUGGCGAAGGCAAUCCCCUGGGCCUGCACUGACGCUCAUGCACGAAAGCGUGGGGAGCAAACAGG